Molecule: unclassified non-coding RNA, 595 nt
Filed under: Hevea brasiliensis (rubber tree)
Lineage: Eukaryota; Viridiplantae; Streptophyta; Magnoliopsida; Malpighiales; Euphorbiaceae
Source: RNAcentral
GAGUCUUUUGGCAGCUCACUUUUCUCUCCACCAGUCUCAGCCUCGUCCUUCUCAGCAAUAACUUCCUCAUUUGAACCUUGAGUUACAUCACCAACAGCAUUUGAUGCUUCCUCAACUGCUGAUGGGAUCACCAUAGUUUCUGAAGGAGCAACAGAUUGACCUUCAGUACCCUCAUGUGAAGAAUCAGAACCUUUGGGUUUCUUUACCACAGGUGCUCCUGCAUCAGAAUUGGUCUCCCCUUGAUCAAGGGGCUGUUCACUCAACUCAGAAGCAGAUGAAGCUAGGCGUUUGCGAGCUGAUGGUUGUGACAAUGAGGUAAGAUUGCGCUGAGUUUCAGAUUCAUGAGACGAAGCAACCUUCCCCUGUGUGUUGGAUCCAUCCACAUCUGACAUCUCUACAUCACCCUGAGGCUCAUCAGGUUUAACAAGCCGGGGCCUUACCAAUUUCCUACCUGUUUUUCGAGUUUCAAUAUUGGUUUUGGAUACUGGAAUUCGCCGCUCCUUGUCGUCUGCUGCCUUAGCGGCUAUGGAACUUGUUAUUGGGCCCACUGAAGAACUUAUGGCAGAGUGAGAAGAAACAGACUGACCUGCAAAAA